RNAcentral lists this transfer RNA (68 nucleotides) under Idioscopus nitidulus. RNAcentral describes it as "tRNA-Pro". The record is from RNAcentral. Lineage: Eukaryota; Metazoa; Arthropoda; Insecta; Hemiptera; Cicadellidae.
CAGUAAGUAGUUUAUUAAAAUUUAAAUUUUGGAGAUUUAAGAUACUAAAUUGUUAUUAGUCUUACUGA